UCAUCCUGCCAAUGCAUGAUCAUGUGAGGU
Molecule: non-coding RNA, 30 nt
Filed under: Rattus norvegicus (Norway rat)
Lineage: Eukaryota; Metazoa; Chordata; Mammalia; Rodentia; Muridae
Source: RNAcentral